GAAAACGUUGCCUUAGUCAGACUAAUGGGGACCCAAGUUCUAAGAGGAGAAGAUAUUCCAUUGUGUAAGAGGAGAGAAAAGGAGGAAAAUCAAGGCAUGUCUGUGAUCUGGGAUGCCAAGUGGAGCCACGGGGCACGUGUCAGAGGAUUCAGAUGUCAUCAUUGGCAGGAACCACCAGAGCCAAGAUCCGGGCCAGGAACCAAAUUCUGCUGGGGAAGGCUGAGAGAAGGCAGAACAAGACUUUCGUGCAGUUUGUGUUCGGUAGCCUCUCAUCAGACGUGGGAACUUUUCCUGUUCUGCUCCAUGGCUGAGGUUCUUAAGAGUCUGAUGAGGCCAACAGAAGACUCUCCAUUACCUUGGAAACGAAGAACCAUUAUCUUGGGUCUGACCCUGAAUCAUCUUGUUGCCUGCAAGACUGAGCUAUGUGGUCAGCAAAAUGCUUGACCCCUCCCAGUCCAGCUAUUGCUUGUCAUUCGUGUGACAACCUGCACGUAGGAUGUCAACCUUGUGACAACCUGCAUGUGGAGCAUCGUCCUUGCCCGUGUUUCGGUCCCCUCAGUCCCUGCAGCCCGGGCUUUGUGCGGUGCAGGAUGGCACUGCAUCCCAACACGCUCUCGCUGUGCUGCUGAGCCAUUUGCAGCAGUUCUGCUGUGUCUUCUGCAUUUUCUUCUCAUAGAUCACCCUCAGGUUUCUUCUGCAUUUUCUUCUCAUAGAUCACCCUCAGGUUUAUAUAUGGCUUUGUGGCAGCUGUGCAGAGGGACACAGUUGUCAGGCCCUGUGGGAUGGAAAGGAAAAGUGCCAUGUUCACCUGGACAACAGCUACAGACAAUCCCCUUUGAAAAAGGGGUUUCACCCUCAGUUCAGUGACCAAAUCCUUCAGUGCUCUGGCCAUAAGUGCACUAAAAGACCUGCUGGAAGAUCUGAGGUAUAUAUUGUGGUCUGUGUUCCCUGGUUUGAGCCUUCUGCUUUGUUUUUAUUCCAUUGCACCAGUGGUGCUUCAUGGUUGUGGUCUGAAGCAUACCUUUUUAUAAACAAAUUGGUAUGUACCAAUUAACAUUCAGGAACUCCAAAGUAGCUUUGGAAAGUAUUCUCUUUUAAGGAAAACACAAUAUAGAAUCAGAAUAAUUUUGGAAGAGACCCUCAAGAUCAUCGGGUCCAACUGUUAACCCAACACUGGCACAAAAUCAUGUCCCUAAGAACCUCAUCUACGCAUCUUUUAAACCCCUCCAGGGAUGGUGACUCCACCACUGCCCUGGGCUGCCUGUUCCAAUGCCUGACAGCUCUUUCUGAGAUGAAAUUUUUCCUAAUAUCCAAUCUGAACCUCCCCUGGUGCAACUUGAGGCUAUUUCCUCUAGUUCUAUCACUUGUUAGGAGAAGAGACCAACCCCCUCCAUGCUACAACGUCCUUUCAGGUAGUUGUAGAGAGCGAGAAGGUGUAGAUUAGUGUUGAUGAGAACAUUCUGCUCUGAUGAAGGUCAGAAGAAAGAUUUUAUACCAUCAGUGUUGAUCUGCUCAGGAAGAUGAGGAAGCUGCCUCUUCAUUUCAGCUGUGAUGAACUGGGAUCUCAUCUGGAUCUGGCAGCUGCCUGUCUUGCCUGUCCUGCCUGCCCUGUCCUGCCACUGAGUCACUCUGCAGAGGGAACUGCCAUGUAGGAGCCUCCUGCCCGUGAGCAGGGCAGCUCUGCUCCCCAGGACAGGUGUGACGGCACCACACUGAGCAGGCCAGAAGGUGUCUGACAAGUCAUUUUCUAAAAAGUGCUUAUUAACCAAUAGAAUUUCACCAAAACACACCGGUUUAAUAAAUUUUUGUUUCGGACGCAGCCUUGGACCACAUUUGAAGUCUUUUGUUUUCACCUUUCCGGAGUGAAGUGUUCUGUUUUUUUUUUUUUUUAUAGAUGAGUUUUCAUCACAGCUCUUAACAUUUUAAAAUUAUAUAGAAAAAAAACAUAAAAUACAAUUAUAAUUUUUCACUGUGUUGAAAUUAAACAUUUUGAAUAACAAAUACAUUUCCUUGGAGUUUGCAGGAAAUCUCAAAAUUACUUGCUUUGUUGCAUUUUCUAAAAUGGAAAAAAGUCCAAAUAAUGAAAUUUGUGAUGAAAAGGAGAAGUAAGAGUCUCUAUGUACUUUAAAAGGAGUAACUCAGUUUAAAAUAGCAAUUUUUUUCUACCGUUUUUAAUCUCUCUUUGCUUUAAUUAUCAAUGAAAAUACUUUUGCAGGAUCGGGACUUAUUUGAAACAGAUAAAAUCUGCUGUCUCCUUGGCACUAUAUUAUUUUCUCAGCUUCCCUUCCCUUCUCAACUUUGGGCAAAAAGGAAAACAGCUUGGUACUUUUCACACCGUUAUUCUUGACUUUGUCAUUUGGGAUCCAGCACUUUUGAGGACAGCUGUAAGUCAUCCUCUGAGCCUGGACCUUCAUACAAAGUUUUUGUGUGAAUUCAUCUGCUUUAGCAAGUAUUUGAGUGGAGCUUAAAAGUAAGUAGGAAAUGUUGUUGAUUUAUAGUAGUAGGCAGGGUUGAUGAGCUUCAGCCACAUUAGAGGGGUCAUAGCUGGGCUUUUGAUUUACCAAACAGUAGCAAAGGAGUAACAUAUUUCGCCCUCUUUUGUAGGAGUAAUUUUUUUUCUACUAUCUAAAACCACAGUGGAGACACUCUGUUUUUAUUAGGCUGUAUGUAUUUUUCCCUUCUGAAAUGACUGACUGUGGCCAAAGCAAAAAUCCCAAGUAUUUGGGCUGUUGCUUGGCUGAGCCUCCUCGCCUUGGCGCUCGCUUGGAGCCUGUUGCAGCUCCCGAGGAUGAUGGAACGGCUCCCACUGGGAGCUGGAUCAAGUUUUGAGCUGCUCCUCACUGCUUGUUUAUUUGUCCUAUUCUCCGGGCUUGGCAGGUGGCAUUUUUGCUCAGUGAUUCAUUCUCCGGCACAUGCAUUUAUCUGGGCUGACAUUUUAAUCAUGCAAAUAAGGAUCUCCUUAAUGAAGAAAAAAAUUAAUUUCACAACUGUUGCUACAAACACAGUGACAUUCCUGCUAAUGUCAUUACAUUUAUAAUACAAUCAGUGGCUUUUCCAUAAUUGCUAUAAACUGGUGCACUUAGCAGCGGAGUAAAGGUUACACAAAGAGCUGUAUGACUCCUCUUGUUCACUUGCUUUUUUAUCAAGAGUG
This is a long non-coding RNA of Columba livia (rock pigeon), 3151 nucleotides long. RefSeq lists it as uncharacterized. The record is from RefSeq and is a predicted model, not a curated record. The transcript is spliced from 3 exons. NCBI's taxonomy places the organism in Eukaryota, Metazoa, Chordata, Aves, Columbiformes, Columbidae.